ACCCAACACACACUACCGAUCAAACACACACUCCAAAAAGUUUCACUCUCGGCGGGAACAGUCGGAAACCGUCAAUCUGCGGCAAACAAAAUGGCUGAAAAGGAAAUGGACGCCGUCGGCCGCUCCCUUACCAAAGAUCAUGAUGAUCAAUCUGCAGGUACAUACUUAUCUACAUUUCUUGAAAACUGCUGUUCAUUUAUGAUCGUGUUCUGAAACUGUUAGCUUGAUUUUAGUUGCAAAUUCUAUUUCUAAGUGCUGUCUUGUGCUGCUGUUCUUAACUGCUAAUAUCUCUAGUAGUAUUUUGCUGCUUCGCUUUGUGAUUUUGUUUCGAACUAUAUAUCUUGUUUUUUAAUUUCAGUCUCGAAGUGUGCUUAGGACUUUGUUAGUUGUUGCUGUCAAUUUCUUAGUUAGUUGAUAUUUGUCUUUUAAUUA
Molecule: long non-coding RNA, 432 nt
Organism: Salvia splendens (bonfire salvia)
Lineage: Eukaryota; Viridiplantae; Streptophyta; Magnoliopsida; Lamiales; Lamiaceae
Exons: 2
Source: RefSeq, a predicted model, not a curated record